Molecule: ribosomal RNA, 1336 nt
Filed under: uncultured bacterium
Lineage: Bacteria
Description: partial 16S ribosomal RNA
Rfam family: Bacterial small subunit ribosomal RNA
Source: RNAcentral
GCGGCGUGCCUAACACAUGCAAGUCGAACGAGGUUUUAAGAGCUUGCUUUUGAUACCGAGUGGCGGACGGGUGAGUAAUGUAUGAGCAACCUGCCUUUCAGAGGGGGACAACAGUUGGAAACGACUGCUAAUACCGCAUAAUGUUUUUGAGCGGCAUCGCUUAAAAACCAAAGGAGCAAUCCGCUGAAAGAUGGGCUCAUAUCUGAUUAGUUAGUUGGUGAGGUAACGGCUCACCAAGACUGCGAUCAGUAGCCGGACUGAGAGGUUGAACGGCCACAUUGGGACUGAGAUACGGCCCAGACUCCUACGGGAGGCAGCAGUGGGGAAUAUUGGGCAAUGGGCGAAAGCCUGACCCAGCAACGCCGCGUGAAGGAAGAAGGUCUUCGGAUUGUAAACUUCUUUUAUGAGGGACGAAGGAAGUGACGGUACCUCAUGAAUAAGCCACGGCUAACUACGUGCCAGCAGCCGCGGUAAUACGUAGGUGGCAAGCGUUAUCCGGAUUUACUGGGUGUAAAGGGCGCGUAGGCGGGGAUGCAAGUCAGAUGUGAAAUCUGUGGGCUCAACUCACAAACUGCAUUUGAAACUGUAUCUCUUGAGUGCUGGAGAGGUAGACGGAAUUCCUUGUGUAGCGGUGAAAUGCGUAGAUAUAAGGAAGAACACCAGUGGCGAAGGCGGUCUACUGGACAGUAACUGACGCUGAGGCGCGAAAGCGUGGGGAGCAAACAGGAUUAGAUACCCUGGUAGUCCACGCUGUAAACGAUGAAUGCUAGCCGUGCGCUCCGAUUGAGGGGUGCGUGGCCGAGCGAAAGCGUUAAGCAUUCCACCUGGGGAGUACGCCGGCAACGGUGAAACUCAAAGGAAUUGACGGGGGCCCGCACAAGCGGAGGAACAUGUGGUUUAAUUCGAUGAUACGCGAGGAACCUUACCCGGGCUCAAACGCGGCGGCGAGAUUUUUGAAAGGAGGUCGUAGGCCAGCAAUGGCCAACCGUCGCGAGGUGCUGCAUGGUUGUCGUCAGCUCGUGCCGUGAGGUGUCGGCUUAAGUGCCAUAACGAGCGCAACCCCCAUCGUCAGUUGCCAUCAGGUGAAGCUGGGCACUCUGGCGAGACUGCCAGCGCAAGCUGCGAGGAAGGCGGGGAUGACGUCAAAUCAGCACGGCCCUUACGUCCGGGGCGACACACGUGUUACAAUGGCAGGCACAGCGGGAAGCCACCCGGCGACGGGGAGCGGAUCCCGAAAGCCUGUCUCAGUUCGGAUCGGAGUCUGCAACCCGACUCCGUGAAGCUGGAUUCGCUAGUAAUCGCAAAUCAGCCAUGGCGCGGUGAAUACGUUCCCGGG